Molecule: unclassified non-coding RNA, 237 nt
Filed under: Hevea brasiliensis (rubber tree)
Lineage: Eukaryota; Viridiplantae; Streptophyta; Magnoliopsida; Malpighiales; Euphorbiaceae
Source: RNAcentral
UGUCAUUUGUAUAUUUGAGGUCACUCAACUCUGGAUGUUUUCUGCCAACUUCACAAGAUUCAACAACGAAAAACUCCGCCAAACACGACCUUCAAAUCAAAUUAAUCUAAAAUGGAUGACGAAUAUGAGAGAAUUUGUCGGCCUUGUCGGUUUUUGAUCUUUCGAGGCAAGACAUACAAUUACGAGGAAAGCUGGAACCUGCCAGAGGGCUUCUUUCUUCUCCAUCCAAAGGCAGCA